UAACAAGGACAUUAGGCUUAGUCUUUAGCCACAGCCACUUUACAUAGCUGUCACGGUUGGCGGCGAGGCAGAUGCGGGUGCAGACUAUAUUUAAUAUAGAUACAAACGAAACAUCAAACAGUACCUAUAGAACUUGUGGCAGAAAUCUAAGGCAAAGACUAACCAUGAAACUAAGACCAUAAACACAGCAACAGAGACAAUGGCAAAGAAAGAUAAACAUAAGACAACCAGUGUAGUGCAAACUGUGGCUAUAAAUACCAGUAAGUGAUGUUCAGGUGCAGGUGGUCAUGUGACAUAAUUGUGUGGUGCAGUGGCUGCUGGGAACUGUAGUCCAGAGUUCCUUCUCUGAUAUUACAUGACAAUAGCAAGUUUGCAUCUUGCUAGUUUAGAUAUUAUAUAUGUACUGUAUGUAUGUAUGUAUGUAUGUAUGUAUGUAUAUAGGUAUUUAUUCCUUAUAAUAUAUGCCUAAAUUUUUUUCAGCUCAUCGAGCAUCUGCAACAAUUAAGUCUGGAUGUGGAGGAGAGGCAUGUAGAGGAGAUGCAUGUGGAGGUCAGCUGUCUGCAUUUUUUUAAAUUGUCAUUUUCUAAAUUGUGAUAAGUAAAUGCCUUGUUACAAAAUGAAGUUCCUGUUCUGUUUUAACCAUCUGUAUCUCUUGUUUUCUUUCUCCCACUCUCAUUGAGUAUCCUUCCUCUAUUUUUUCCUCUCCUCCCUCUUCUUUAAUCUCUCCUCCCUCCCUCCCUCCCUCCCUCCCUCCCUCCCUCCUCCCCGCCCUCCACGAAACAUCCACAAAUCUGUACUGAGUUUGACCUCUGAUCAUAAAUAUCUGAAACACAUGAAGUCAGUUUCUCGCAGAACACGUGGUUGACUGAAGUGGGCUUCCUUUUAUUGCCUUCCCUUCCCCUGCACCACUCUGUUAUUCUCAGACCUUUUUCCUCCUGUGAGGAAAUUCACAGAACACUGAAGCAGUGCUGCUGACCAUGAACAGCCUUUGAUGGAGUAUCAGCAUGAUGAAAUAAAACACAGCAAUGACUAAAUGCCACAUGAUGCCGUUAGUGAGAUGAGUGAAUUCUUCCAGAAACUAAGCCUGGGGGAAGAAAAGAUGGAUGUGGAUGUGGAUGAAGAGGAGAUGGAUGUGGAUAUGGUUGUAGAGAAGAUGGAUGUGGACAUGAUGGAUGAGAUGAACAGCCUGAAAGAACAGAUCAGAAAGAGGAUCAGAUCGAUGAUCAUACAAAUGAUCACAAUCAGGAUCUGAUCAUUGGAGAUAUGCGACUGACAGCAAAUCUCCGUUUUCAGAUAUUUGGCACAAGUUGGACUUCUGUAUAUAUGUCAUUUCUUACCUAAUAGUAUCUAUUUUAUUCUAGUUCACUUUUUAACCUGUAAAAUACCCAACUGUAUCCUGUGUCUUGUAUGGGUAUUAUUGUAAAUAUGUAUAUGUUACUUUGCUUGCUUUGCUUUGUUAUUGAAUCAAUAUUGCAUUAAAUUUAAACAAAGUUUAAGUCCUCCAAAGUGGGGGGGUGGAUGGUAUGGGUUUAAAAAAAAAAAAUAAAUAAACUAGUAAAAUGCACGUGGCUCAAAGUUUCUGUCAUUGUAACCUUUCUAGAUACAUUUAAAGCAAUUUCACGUAAUAACCCCCCCCAGUUGAAAUUAUUAAGAAAUUAAUUCUAUCCAGGAUUUCUUUUUCACGCAGAACGCAUUGUAGGAGACAGCAUCUUAAACGGAG
This is a long non-coding RNA of Ictalurus punctatus (channel catfish), 1720 nucleotides long. The record is from Ensembl. Lineage: Eukaryota; Metazoa; Chordata; Actinopteri; Siluriformes; Ictaluridae.